AAUGAACGCUGGCGGCGCGCCUAAUACAUGCAAGUCGAGCGAGAAGACGUAGCAAUACGUUUGUAAAGCGGCGAACGGGUGAGGAAUACAUGGGUAACCUACCCUAGAGUGGGGAAUAACUAGCCGAAAGGUUAGCUAAUACCGCGUAUGCUCCUUGGACUUCGGUUCAGGGAGGAAAGCGAUGCCGAGGGUAUCGCGCUCUUGGAUGGGCUCAUGUCCUAUCAGCUGUUGGUGAGGUAACGGCUCACCAAGGCUUCGACGGGUAGCUGGUCUGAGAGGACGAUCAGCCACACUGGCACUGCGACACGGGCCAGACUCCUACGGGAGGCAGCAGUAAGGAAUAUUGCGCAAUGGGCGAAAGCCUGACGCAGCGACGCCGCGUGGGGGAUGAAGGUCUUCGGAUU
Molecule: ribosomal RNA, 404 nt
Filed under: uncultured bacterium
Lineage: Bacteria
Description: bacterial SSU rRNA
Rfam family: Bacterial small subunit ribosomal RNA
Source: RNAcentral